RNAcentral lists this ribosomal RNA (253 nucleotides) under uncultured bacterium. RNAcentral describes it as "partial 16S ribosomal RNA". It matches the Rfam family "Bacterial small subunit ribosomal RNA", at positions 524 to 776 of the family's 1533-position model. The record is from RNAcentral.
GACGAACCGAGCGAACGUUGUUCGGAAUCACUGGGCAUAAAGGGCGCGUAGGCGGGCCGUCAAGUCAGGGGUGAAAUCCUCCAGCUUAACUGGAGAACUGCCUUUGAUACUGACGGCCUCGAGUGAGGUAGGGGCGUGCGGAACUGAUGGUGGAGCGGUGAAAUGUGUUGAUAUCAUCAGGAACUCCGGUGGCGAAAGCGGCACGCUGGACCUUUACUGACGCUGAGGCGCGAAAGCCAGGGGAGCGAACGGG